Molecule: transfer RNA, 84 nt
Filed under: Bacteroidota bacterium
Lineage: Bacteria; Pseudomonadati; Bacteroidota
Also listed under: 1 other name
Description: Bacteroidetes bacterium tRNA-Leu
Rfam family: tRNA
About the family: Transfer RNA (tRNA) molecules are approximately 80 nucleotides in length.
Source: RNAcentral
GCCCGGGUGGCGGAAUAGGUAGACGCGCUGUCUUGAGGGGGCAGUGCCCUUACGGGCGUGCUGGUUCGAUUCCAGUCCCGGGCA